AUCCGGAAUCAUUGGGCGUAAAGCGCCUGUAGGUUGUUUAAUAAGUCUGUUGUUAAAGACUAGGGCUUAACCCUAGAAAAGCAAUGGAAACUACUAGACUAGAGUAUGGCAGGGGUAGAGGGAAUUUCUAGUGUAGCGGUGAAAUGCGUAGAUAUUAGAAAGAACACCGGUGGCGAAAGCGCUCUACUGGACCAUUACUGACACUCAGAGGCGAAAGCUAGGGUAGCAAAAGGGAUUAGAUACCCCUGUAGUCCUAGCCGUAAACGAUGGAUACUAGAUGUUGUGCAUAAUGUACAGUAUCGUAGCUAACGCGUUAAGUAUCCCGCCUGGGGAGUACGCUCGCAAGGGUGAAACUCAAAGGAAUUGACGGGGGCCCGCACAAGCGGUGGAGCAUGUGGUUUAAUUCGAUGCAACGCGAAGAACCUUACCAGGGCUUGACAUACUACAGAUUCUUUUGAGAAAAAGAAGUGCCUUCGGGAAUGUAGAUACAGGUGGUGCAUGGCUGUCGUCAGCUCGUGUCGUGAGAUGCUGGGUUAAGUCCCGCAACGAGCGCAACCCUUAUUUUUAGUUACUAAUUCGUUAGGUUCUCUAGAAAGACUGCCGGUGACAAACCGGAGGAAGGUGAGGAUGACGUCAAGUCAGCAUGCCCCUUAUGUCCUGGGCUACACACGUGCUACAAUGGUUAAGACAAAGAGUCGCGAGCUCGCGAGAGUCAGCUAAUCUCAUAAACUUAGCCUAAGUUCAGAUUGUAGGCUGCAA
This 759-nucleotide ribosomal RNA is filed under the name uncultured marine haptophyte. Its description in RNAcentral is "bacterial SSU rRNA". It matches the Rfam family "Bacterial small subunit ribosomal RNA", at positions 543 to 1310 of the family's 1533-position model. Lineage: Eukaryota; Haptophyta. The record is from RNAcentral.